CAAUAGCGUAUAUUUAAGUUGUUGCAGUUAAAAAGCUCGUAGUUGGAUUUCGGGUGGGACGCAGCGGUCUCGCAUUGCGUUUGUACUGCUGCAGCCCUCCUUCUUGCCGGGGGCGGCCUCUCGGACUUCACUGUCUGGGGGUCAGAAUCGGCGAUGUUACUUUGAGUAAAUUAGAGUGUUCAAAGCAAGCUUACGCUCUGAAUAUAAUAGCAUGGGAUAACACGACAGGACUCUGGCUUAUCUUGUUGGUCUGUGAGACCAGAGUAAUGAUUAAGAGGGACAGUCGGGGACAUUCGUAUUUCAUUGUCAGAGGUGAAAUUCUUGGAUUUAUGAAAGACGAACUUCUGCGAAAGCAUUUGUCAAGGAUGUUUUCAUUAA
Molecule: ribosomal RNA, 378 nt
Filed under: uncultured eukaryote
Lineage: Eukaryota
Description: partial 18S ribosomal RNA
Rfam family: Eukaryotic small subunit ribosomal RNA
Source: RNAcentral